This 495-nucleotide ribosomal RNA is filed under the name uncultured bacterium. RNAcentral's name for it is "partial 16S ribosomal RNA". It matches the Rfam family "Bacterial small subunit ribosomal RNA", at positions 28 to 507 of the family's 1533-position model. The record is from RNAcentral.
GACGAACGCUGGCGGCGUGCCUAAUACAUGCAAGUAGAACGCUGAAGGAGGAGCUUGCUUCUCUGGAUGAGUUGCGAACGGGUGAGUAACGCGUAGGUAACCUGCCUGGUAGCGGGGGAUAACUAUUGGAAACGAUAGCUAAUACCGCAUAAUAGUAGAUGUUGCAUGACAUUUGCUUAAAAGGUGCAAUUGCAUCACUACCAGAUGGACCUGCGUUGUAUUAGCUAGUUGGUGGGGUAACGGCUCACCAAGGCGACGAUACAUAGCCGACCUGAGCGGGUGAUCGGCCACACUGGGACUGAGACACGGCCCAGACUCCUACGGGAGGCAGCAGUAGGGAAUCUUCGGCAAUGGACGGAAGUCUGACCGAGCAACGCCGCGUGAGUGAAGAAGGUUUUCGGAUCGUAAAGCUCUGUUGUAAGAGAAGAACGAGUGUGAGAGUGGAAAGUUCACACUGUGACGGUAUCUUACCAGAAAGGGACGGCUAACUACGUG